Molecule: ribosomal RNA, 253 nt
Filed under: uncultured bacterium
Lineage: Bacteria
Description: partial 16S ribosomal RNA
Rfam family: Bacterial small subunit ribosomal RNA
Source: RNAcentral
UACAGAGGGUGCAAGCGUUAAUCGGAAUUACUGGGCGUAAAGCGUGCGUAGACGGUUAUGUAAGUCGGGUGUGAAAGCCCCGGGCUCAACCUGGGAAUUGCAUUCGAGACUGUGUAGCUAGGGUACGGAAGAGGGAAGCGGAAUUUCAGGUGUAGCGGUGAAAUGCGUAGAUAUCUGAAGGAACACCAGUGGCGAAAGCGGCUUCCUGGCCUGUUCUUGACGCUGAGGCGCGAAAGCUAGGGGAGCAAACGGG